CUCCGGAUUAGUAAUGGGUGACUUGGCCCCCUGGCUGAUGACCUGGCAAGAAAGGAGCUAUCAUGUGUCAUAUCACAGACCGCCACAGACACCCGGGGCAAUGUGAUUUGUCACUUCAAGGAGGAGGCAGCCUGAGAGUGUCCCAUCCUCCGGCUGCUGAGUCAUCCUACUCCAGUAGGUAUUUAAAGAGAAGCCUCCGACAGACACACCAGCAACACCUCACUCGGACAAUGCCCACACUUCCAGAAGUCAUGUCUAGCUUGGACUGCCCACAAGUGCAAUUUCCAAAAACAGCUUCUGUCCUCUUUUCCCCAUAUUGUCACACUAGGGUUCUGACUUCUGGCUCUUUUCCUCAAAACCAGCCUAUCCAGCCAGUCCUCCUAGGGCACCUUGGCCCCAGAGGCCAUCAAUUCCUGUGCAAGUUUCCUCAUGGUCUCUCUGACUUCACUUUCUUAUAUUUCUUUGAUGUCAACAAACUCUGGCUGAGUGUCUGUUAUGGGUUAGGCACUGAGCUAUAGGUAAGGGUUGGUUAAAAAACAAGUAAGACACAUUCCUUGCCUUUCAGGAGCUCCCAAUCCAGUGGAAGAGACAGUCAGGAAACCAGGCAACCACAAUGCACAAAGUGAUGGCUCUAAGACAGGUGCUGUUGAUGAAAGUGCUAAAGGAGCUGGAUGUGACUGACGUCUUUGGGAAGGACAGGAUUUACCAUGCGCAUGCAGUUGUUGUGUCCAAAUGCCGUUCUUACCUCCCGAUGGAAAGCCUGUCUAUAAAAAUGAAGAGUGUAGAAGAAAUGAGACAGAAUGGCUACGCGAUUAAGAUCUCAGGCUUUGCAUUCCAAUCCAAUUCUAUUCUGCUGCUUGUUAGGAUUCCACAUGGACAGCAAGAGUACAGCACGGGAGGUCUCCACCUGCGGCCCAUGGACCACUUGUGUGGAGAGUGGCUGGGAUAUGUGGCAAAAAUGCAGGUUCUUAGACCCCACUCCAAACCACACACUCAGAAUGUCUUGUGGUGGGGCCCCGAAAUCCAUCUUAUUAGGCAGCCCAUCAGAGAUGCCUAUGAACACUUAAGUUUGAAUACUACUGUCCAGAGGGUGAGGGUGGGAGACAUAUUCUGCGAAGGCCCCAGGAAGAAUCCUUACGGUGGAAAAUACUUCAGUUCUCAAAUUGAUUUUGAAGUUCUGUUACCAGGCAACCAUAUUUCUAAAAUUGGUUUUAUGUACAAUAUUGCUUAACUGUAUAUUAAUGGAAAUAUUUUUUUAAUUAAAAACCUGGGUAUAAAAUAAAAUGUCGUUGGGGCGCCUGGGUGGCUCA
This 1310-nucleotide long non-coding RNA is filed under the name Felis catus (domestic cat). RNAcentral's name for it is "lncRNA (ENSFCAG00000045102.2)". The record is from RNAcentral. Lineage: Eukaryota; Metazoa; Chordata; Mammalia; Carnivora; Felidae.